Octopus bimaculoides (California two-spot octopus) is the source of this 388-nucleotide long non-coding RNA. The record is from RefSeq and is a predicted model, not a curated record. NCBI's taxonomy places the organism in Eukaryota, Metazoa, Mollusca, Cephalopoda, Octopoda, Octopodidae.
CUUCCUCUUCUUACCCAGCCUAUUGGUGGUUGUUGAUUUCUUCCGUGGUCAAUUUCAGGUUUUUCAAUUAAUUCAUCCACAAUGGUACACAUGAGUCCAGAAAUGAAAUCUCGUGUCAGCAGUGUGCUGUGGUUAGCUAAGACAAUAUUCCAUGUAGGAUUUAUUCCUUCUGUACUUUAUUUAGGUUUCAAAAAAGGUGCCGACGAAGGAAUGCCAGAAUUAACAGUGAUGAGUUUAUUGUGGCAGUAAGAUGAAACAAAACACCACAAAUCAUGGUUAGCUGAGAUGAAAGAUUGUACAUAUUUGUGAAGAGAAAAUAUUUACUUCCUGUUCCAGAAACUUGUUAAACAUGACAAAAUGGUUUUGAAAAUAAAUCUUUAACUUCCAA